GAAGCCCAGCUUGCUGGGUGGAUCAGUGGCGAACGGGUGAGUAACACGUGAGCAACCUGCCCUUCACUUCGGGAUAAGCCUUGGAAACGGGGUCUAAUACCGGAUAGGAGCACCUGCUGCAUGGUGGGUGUUGGAAAGUUUUUCGGUGAGGGAUGGGCUCGCGGCCUAUCAGCUUGUUGGUGGGGUAACGGCCUACCAAGGCGUCGACGGGUAGCCGGCCUGAGAGGGCGACCGGCCACACUGGGACUGAGACACGGCCCAGACUCCUACGGGAGGCAGCAGUGGGGAAUAUUGCACAAUGGGCGAAAGCCUGAUGCAGCGACGCCGCGUGAGGGAUGACGGCCUUCGGGUUGUAAACCUCUUUCAGCAGGGAAGAAGCGCAAGUGACGGUACCUGCAGAAGAAGCGCCGGCUAACUACGUGCCAGCAGCCGCGGUAAUACGUAGGGCGCAAGCGUUGUCCGGAAUUAUUGGGCGUAAAGAGCUCGUAGGCGGUCUGUCGCGUCUGGUGUGAAAUCCCAUGGCUCAACUAUGGGCUUGCAUCGGGUACGG
Molecule: ribosomal RNA, 550 nt
Filed under: Promicromonospora citrea
Lineage: Bacteria; Bacillati; Actinomycetota; Actinomycetes; Micrococcales; Promicromonosporaceae
Description: bacterial SSU rRNA
Rfam family: Bacterial small subunit ribosomal RNA
Source: RNAcentral